UACGAAGGGUGCAAGCGUUAAUCGGAAUUACUGGGCGUAAAGGGUGCGUAGGCGGUUCGUUAAGUCUGCUGUGAAAUCCCCGGGCUCAACCUGGGAAUGGCAAUGGAUACUGGCGGGCUAGAGUGUGGCAGAGGGGGGUGGAAUUCCACGUGUAGCAGUGAAAUGCGUAGAGAUGUGGAGGAACACCGAUGGCGAAGGCAGCCCCCUGGGUUAACACUGACGCUCAGGCACGAAAGCGUGGGGAGCAAACAGG
Molecule: ribosomal RNA, 253 nt
Filed under: uncultured bacterium
Lineage: Bacteria
Description: partial 16S ribosomal RNA
Rfam family: Bacterial small subunit ribosomal RNA
Source: RNAcentral